Molecule: ribosomal RNA, 292 nt
Filed under: uncultured prokaryote
Description: partial 16S ribosomal RNA
Rfam family: Archaeal small subunit ribosomal RNA
Source: RNAcentral
GUGUCACAGCCGCGGUAAUACCGGCAGCUCAAGUGAUGACCGAUUUUAUUGGGCCUAAAGCGUCCGUAGCUGGCCGCGCAAGUCUGUCGGGAAAUCCACCCGCUUAACGGGUGGGCGUCCGGCGGAAACUGUGCGGCUUGGGACAGGAAGGCUCGAGGGGUACGUUCGGGGUAGGAGUGAAAUCCCGUAAUCCUGAACGGACCACCGAUGGCGAAAGCACCUCGAGAGGACUGAUCCGACAGUGAGGGACGAAAGCUGGGGUCUCGAACCGGAUUAGAAACCCUCGUAGUCC